CGUGCACUGGUGGGGUCCCUUGGCCUGGCCUGUGCCCUCUCGCAAUCCGGGGGGAUGUCGGAUUGACAGUUUCGGCCCGAUCCACACAGGUCAGGCCAAGGGACCCCACCAGUGCACG
Molecule: non-coding RNA, 118 nt
Organism: Myotis brandtii (Brandt's bat)
Lineage: Eukaryota; Metazoa; Chordata; Mammalia; Chiroptera; Vespertilionidae
Source: Rfam